CAGAAGCCAGGGGAGCUGGGGGGCCACCCAGGCUGGACGCAAGAGCAUCUCCUCGUAUGAGAGAGAGAGAGAGAGAGAGACACCACCCCCCCCCCCCCACAAAAAGCUGAGAGCUUCCUACAGAAACCACAGAUAAUGCCAAAUCAGAAGAGCUGCUUCACCAUGCCGGGAGAGCCGGCAGACAGAAUUACGUGACUGAUGAGGCCGGCCUGAGAACCACGGCAGAAACAUAGCUUUCCGUCACGCUCAAUUUGCUUCCAAGUUAGCCUAGAGGCUAAAGAAGUGGAGAAAACUCUACAACAAGCCAGAAAACUAGAGCUGGGGGAGCCCCGAGGCUCUAGAGACAAACUUGACCGUCAGCUCCAAGUCAUUUCUGCAAAAGAGGGAAGAAAGAGGAAGCCCCACUUUGGCCUCACCCAAGGUGCUUGCUACCUCACUGGACCUAAAGGAUCAUGACGAAGGGUCUGGAAGCAUGGUGAAGCCCCCAGCCCCAAUAAUCACCCAACCCAAUUCACAGCCUGUUCUCUGGCUCAUCUUCUCUCUUCCACCAUCGAAUCCCUCACACGGCACCAGAUGGAAAGUGGGGGCACCAUACUGUCACUGCAAUGCAAAAAACUGUCCUCGCUGUCUGUAAAGCAAAGUCAAAGCUCCUUGUUUAUCCCAAAUUUCAAGACCUUCUCAACCUGUCCCAGCCGCCCUUCCAGCCCCUUUGCAAUGCGUUCUCUUCUGCAUCAGACACAAUCACAGCCCCUUCCCUUCAGCCCCGGCCCCAACCUCUUCUCUAGAGCUCAAUCCAUCCUGCCCUCUUCGGUUUGGCUCAAAUGCCACCUCCUCUGACUCACCGGCCAGAUGGGGUUUCUCCCUCCUCGAACACCCCGGGCUCACACUAUGGCUCCUCUGUUCUCCCACAGUCCCGUUGGACUCAGCAUCCCGAGAGCACGUGCUUGCUUCACCUACACACCCCUGGUCCCCAGCACACGGCGGAUGCUCAGGAAUGUUGACUGGGCAGAUGGAUGAACACAAAGAUGAGUAGACAGAUCGCUUACAGGUGUGAUUGUGAUUCUCCUCUCGACUCUCUACCCUUCACCAAGUGAAGCAACGGGGAAGAUGGGAGAAGGCGGCACCAUAAAGCAACAACCCCACGCCUUCUUCAUCUCCCCACAGCAGGCAUGUGUGCACGCACAUGUGCACAUACAUACCCAUGCACACCUGCGCUCACACACAUGUGCACACACAAGCAUGCACGCCCGUGUAUACCCGUGCACACGCGCA
This is a long non-coding RNA of Zalophus californianus (California sea lion), 1272 nucleotides long. RefSeq lists it as uncharacterized. The transcript has 3 exons. NCBI's taxonomy places the organism in Eukaryota, Metazoa, Chordata, Mammalia, Carnivora, Otariidae. The record is from RefSeq and is a predicted model, not a curated record.